GCUGAGGAGCGAAAGUGUGGGGAGCGAACAGGAUUAGAUACCCUGGUAGUCCACACCGUAAACGUUGGGCGCUAGGUGUGGGAUCCAUUCCACGGGUUCCGUGCCGCAGCUAACGCAUUAAGCGCCCCGCCUGGGGAGUACGGCCGCAAGGCUAAAACUCAAGGGAAUUGACGGGGGCCCGCACAAGCGGCGGAGCAUGCGGAUUAAUUCGAUGCAACGCGAAGAACCUUACCUGGGUUUGACAUACACCCUGCCGCUCCAGAGAUGGGGCUUCUUUUGGGGGUGUACAGGUGGUGCAUGGCUGUCGUCAGCUCGUGUCGUGAGAUGUUGGGUUAAGUCCCGCAACGAGCGCAACCCUCGUCCUAUGUUGCCAGCACGUUAUGGUGGGGACUCAUAGGAGACUGCCGGGGUCAACUCGGAGGAAGGUGGGGAUGACGUCAAGUCAUCAUGCCCCUUAUGUCCAGGGCUUCACGCAUGCUACAAUGGCCGGUACAAAGGGCUGCGAUCCCGUGAGGGGGAGCGAAUCCCAAAAAGCCGGUCUCAGUUCGGAUUGGGGUCUGCAACUCGACCCCAUGAAGUCGGAGUCGCUAGUAAUCGCAGAUCAGCAACGCUGCGGUGAAUACGUUCCCGGGCCUUGUACACACCGCCC
Molecule: ribosomal RNA, 649 nt
Filed under: uncultured bacterium
Lineage: Bacteria
Description: bacterial SSU rRNA
Rfam family: Bacterial small subunit ribosomal RNA
Source: RNAcentral